This is a long non-coding RNA of Salarias fasciatus (jewelled blenny), 130 nucleotides long. RefSeq lists it as uncharacterized. NCBI's taxonomy places the organism in Eukaryota, Metazoa, Chordata, Actinopteri, Blenniiformes, Blenniidae. The record is from RefSeq and is a predicted model, not a curated record. The transcript is spliced from 3 exons.
AAGAUCAAAGCACAGGGUCUGGGCUGACCUUCAGCACGCCCAGCACACCCAAAAUAGCCUCUUCAUCCGCCGUCAGUGGGGGUGAAAUGAAAGACUUUGUUAGUAUAGCCUUUCAAUUUGGAAAUAAAGG